Molecule: ribosomal RNA, 497 nt
Filed under: uncultured bacterium
Lineage: Bacteria
Description: partial 16S ribosomal RNA
Rfam family: Bacterial small subunit ribosomal RNA
Source: RNAcentral
GAUGAACGCUGGCGGCGUGCCUAAUACAUGCAAGUCGAGCGAACAGAUAAGGAGCUUGCUCCUUUGACGUUAGCGGCGGACGGGUGAGUAACACGUGGGUAACCCACCUAUAAGACUGGAAUAACUCCGGGAAACCGGGGCUAAUGCCGGAUAACAUUUAGAACCGCAUGGUUCUAAAGUGAAAGAUGGUUUUGCUAUCACUUAUAGAUGGACCCGCGCCGUAUUAGCUAGUUGGUAAGGUAACGGCUUACCAAGGCAACGAUACGUAGCCGACCUGAGAGGGUGAUCGGCCACACUGGAACUGAGACACGGUCCAGACUCCUACGGGAGGCAGCAGUAGGGAAUCUUCCGCAAUGGGCGAAAGCCUGACGGAGCAACGCCGCGUGAGUGAUGAAGGUCUUCGGAUCGUAAAACUCUGUUAUUAGGGAAGAACAAAUGUGUAAGUAACUGUGCACGUCUUGACGGUACCUAAUCAGAAAGCCACGGCUAACUACGUG